GCUUUGGAUCCCUCUCACAGCUGAUGGAAAAUCGAUUGAGCAAAUAAUUCUGUCUGCUAAGUUUUGAAAUUAUGUGAAAGAGAUUGUUGAUAUUGUGGAGAUGCUAUAUGUGGUCCUCCAUUUAGUGGAUCAGGAAAAAAAACCUCAAAUGGGACAUGUCUAUUAUAAACUGAGGAUAGCUAAAGAUAAUAUUAAAAAAUAAUCCGCUGCGGUGUCAAUCUUAUUUAAAAAUUAUUGACAGACAUUGGGACGUGCAGAUGAGCCGGGAUCUACACCUAGCUGGUACGUUAUAAAUUAUAACAAAACUAUUUAUUACUGAUUGUUCAUUGGUAGUCUUGUAUUGUUAAUGGAGUGAUUUCUUUUUUAAUGAUGGGUUAUUAUUUUAAUCCGUCGUACCAUCAUCGUUAUAAUCUUGGAUUUGAUGAUGAAUUGUUGAAGGCAUUAUGAAACGUUAUCAAUAGAUUGGAGAGGGAUCCAACACUUGCUGCUCUUGCCAUAAGUGAGGUAUAAUAUUUUUUCAGUGUAUUAUUAAUUUGCUAGAUGUUAAUAUGCUGAUUGCUGAUUAUUAUACUAUCAUAAUAAAGGAAAAAAU
RNAcentral lists this long non-coding RNA (592 nucleotides) under Ananas comosus (pineapple). Its description in RNAcentral is "long non-coding RNA (ACOM_LNC015209)". The record is from RNAcentral. Lineage: Eukaryota; Viridiplantae; Streptophyta; Magnoliopsida; Poales; Bromeliaceae.